Molecule: ribosomal RNA, 492 nt
Filed under: uncultured bacterium
Lineage: Bacteria
Description: partial 16S ribosomal RNA
Rfam family: Bacterial small subunit ribosomal RNA
Source: RNAcentral
AGUGAACGCUGGCGGUAUGCCUAACACAUGCAAGUCGAACGGCAGCACAGUAAGAGCUUGCUCUUACGGGUGGCGAGUGGCGGACGGGUGAGGAAUACAUCGGAAUCUACUUUUUCUUGGGUGAUAACGUAGGGAAACUUACGCUAAUACCGCAUACUACCUACGGGUGAAAGCAGGGGAUCUUCGCACCUUGCGCGAUUCAAUUAGCCGAUGUCGGAUUAGCUAGUUGGCGGGGUAAAGGCCCACCAAGGCAACGAUCCGUAGCUGGUCUGAGAGGAUGAUCAGCCACACUGGAACUGAGACACGGUCCAGACUCCUACGGGAGGCAGCAGUGGGGAAUAUUGGACAAUGGGCGAAAGCCUGAUCCAGCCAUACCGCGUGAGUGAAGAAGGCCUUCGGGUUGUAAAGCCCUUUUGUUGGGAAAGAAAAGCAGCAGGUUAAUACCCCGCUGUUCUGACGGUACCCAAAGAAUAAGCACCGGCUAACUUCGUG